Molecule: long non-coding RNA, 803 nt
Organism: Hypanus sabinus (Atlantic stingray)
Lineage: Eukaryota; Metazoa; Chordata; Chondrichthyes; Myliobatiformes; Dasyatidae
Exons: 7
Source: RefSeq, a predicted model, not a curated record
UGCAGGAAGCCGUGGGGGAUCGAUAUUGGGAUGUUAUCGAUUGCUCUGCCGGCUGAUAAUUUGUGUGGGGAGGAGGGGCUGUGGUGACGUCACCGGCCCGCCGCCGCCGCAGAGGUUGUCGGGAGGUGAGCACGGACCGCUCGGUCUUUCUGGUCUCGGCGGCGGACGGUGAGGAUGUUCCGGCUCGGACUCCUGGGCAAACGGCGAGGGGGCCCGGAGUCGGCGGGCGGAAGGGGUGGCCACGUGUGGGGAAAGGGAAGCGAAGGAUUGCUUUACCCAGGCGAUUAUCGGGGCCUUAAACCUCGUGCUGUGGUGAUGCUCGUUCAUCUUUAUAAGCAAUGGAUCACAGCCAGUCUUGUGAUAAAUUUGAAUUGAAAAACAUUACAUAAUUCAGAAGUGAAGUUCUAAUGGAAACCAUCUGAGCCCAGCAUGUCUGAGUGACGAAUGAGCAAUUGUCUGGCUUCAGGUUGUAGUGGUAUUCUGCCAAAUGCCUGCUUGUACCCUGGAAAGAUUCUUUACAGCAGCUGGGAUGAACAGAUUCACUAUUUGCAUCUUCCUUUGUACAAGUGAAGCUAUUGAAAACAUCUGAAGUAUAAGCUAUAAUCUAUAUAAAUUUGGGGUUGCAAGAUUUUUAAUAGUGCUACUCAAUGGAAGCUUGGUUAGCUAGCAGUGGCACUAGUGAAACUUGUUAUUUUUUUGUAACGUUGACUUGCAAUAAUUCUCAUAUUUGAAUUUGACUGUUGAAUAUGAUGAAUCCAAUUAAACUUAAAAUAAAGAUGUACUGAUUUGCAUUAUUGAUUCUA